UAGGGAAUCUUCCGCAAUGGACGCAAGUCUGACGGAGCAACGCCGCGUGAGUGAAGAAGGAUUUCGGUUCGUAAAACUCUGUUGUUAGAGAAGAACAGCGCAUAGAGUAACUGUUAUGCGUGUGACGGUAUCUAACCAGAAAGCCACGGCUAACUACGUGCCAGCAGCCGCGGUAAUACGUAGGUGGCAAGCGUUGUCCGGAUUUAUUGGGCGUAAAGCGAGCGCAGGCGGUCAAUUAAGUCUGAUGUGAAAGCCCCCGGCUCAACCGGGGAGGGUCAUUGGAAACUGGUUGACUUGAGUGCAGAAGAGGAGAGGGGAAUUCCAUGUGUAGCGGAGAAAUGCGUAGAUAUAUGGAGGAACACCAGUGGCGAAGGCGACUCUCUGGUCUGUAUCUGACGCAGAGGCUCGAAAGCGUGGGUAGCAAACAGG
Molecule: ribosomal RNA, 429 nt
Filed under: Bacteroidota bacterium
Lineage: Bacteria; Pseudomonadati; Bacteroidota
Description: Bacteroidetes bacterium partial 16S ribosomal RNA
Rfam family: Bacterial small subunit ribosomal RNA
Source: RNAcentral